AGGGUCUCAGAGCAACAGAAGGAUUCAUUCACCCUGGAAGAGGCUCUCUCCCCUUGGGAUUCCUUAGAACAGAUCAUCAGGAGCCUGGAGCGAGAGGAGUGGUAGCCUUUGUCUGACACAGCAAGGCCUGGAAUAAAUCUGCGGAGCAACCAGGACCCUGCAGCCCGGCGAGUUGCUCCUGAGAUGAAGGGCGACCUCCAGAAGGCUUGCUACCUGCUCCUAUUCGGACACAGGAUGCUGCAGACAGGAAUGAGGUCACCUUGAGUGAAAGGACAGUUCAGCUGCACCAUGGCUUAAAAGGGAAGGUAUCUGGAAGAGAAACGAUGUGGGUGGGCUUCUCCACCUCCUGACCCAGGGAAGCCCUGCCCUUAAGUCUCCACAAGGCCCUUUCCUCCCUGCCCUCACU
Non-coding RNA from Pogona vitticeps (central bearded dragon), 406 nucleotides. The record is from RefSeq and is a predicted model, not a curated record. NCBI's taxonomy places the organism in Eukaryota, Metazoa, Chordata, Lepidosauria, Squamata, Agamidae.